UAUCGACGUGAGGCGCGAAACUAGAGGAUCCAACAGGUUAGAUACCUGGUAGUCCAGGCACUAAACGAUGGAUGCUUGGUGUGACCCGUACCCUAUCCGGUUGUACCGAAGCUAACGCGAUAAGCAUCCCCGCCUGGGGAGUACGGUCGCAAGGCUAAACUCAAAGGAAUUGACGGGGGCCCGCACAAGCGGUGGAGCAUGUGGUUCAAUUCGACGCAACGCGAAGUACCUUACCUGGGCUCGAAGCACAGUGGACCGGGGUAGAAAUAUCCCUUUUCGCAAGAACUGCUGUGGAGGUGCAGCAUGGCUGUAGUCAGCUCGUGUCGUGAGAUGUUGGGUUAAGUCCCGCAACGAGCGCAACCCUUAUCAUUAGUGUCCAGCGGGUCAAGCCGGGCACUCUAGCGAAACCGCCUCGGAUAACGGGGAGGAGGGGGGGGAUGAGGUCAAGUCCUCAUGGCCUUUAUGUCCAGGGCUACACACGUGCUACAAUGGUCGGUACAAACCGUCGCAAACCCGCGAGGGGGAGCUAAUCGGAAAAAGCCGACCUCAGUUCGGAUUGGAGUCUGCAACUCGACUCCAUGAAGCUGGAAUCGCUAGUAAUCGCAGAUCAGCACGCUGCGGUGAAUACGUUCCCGGGCCUUGUACACACCGCCCGUCACAUCACGAAAGUGGACUGCACUAGAAGCCGGUGCGCUAACCCGCAAGGGGAGCAGCCGUCCAAGGUAUGGUUCAUGAUUGGGGUGAAGUCGUAACAAGGUAACC
RNAcentral lists this ribosomal RNA (762 nucleotides) under uncultured soil bacterium. Its description in RNAcentral is "bacterial SSU rRNA". It matches the Rfam family "Bacterial small subunit ribosomal RNA", at positions 738 to 1501 of the family's 1533-position model. The record is from RNAcentral.